RNAcentral lists this ribosomal RNA (253 nucleotides) under uncultured bacterium. Its description in RNAcentral is "partial 16S ribosomal RNA". It matches the Rfam family "Bacterial small subunit ribosomal RNA", at positions 524 to 776 of the family's 1533-position model. The record is from RNAcentral.
UACGAGGGGAGCUAGCGUUAUUCGGAAUUACUGGGCGUAAAGCGCACGUAGGCGGCUUUGUAAGUAAGGGGUGAAAGCCUGGUGCUCAACACCAGAACUGCCCUUUAGACUGCAUCGCUUGAAUCCAGGAGAGGUGAGUGGAAUUCCGAGUGUAGAGGUGAAAUUCGUAGAUAUUCGGAAGAACACCAGUGGCGAAGGCGGCUCACUGGACUGGUAUUGACGCUGAGGUGCGAAAGCGUGGGGAGCAAACAGG